CGUUAAAUCGACCGCCUGGGGAGUACGGCCGCAAGGUUAAAACUCAAAUGAAUUGACGGGGGCCCGCACAAGCGGUGGAGCAUGUGGUGUAAUUCGAUGCAACGCGAAGAACCUUACCUGGUCUUGACAUCCACAGAACUUUACAGAGAUGGAUUGGUGCCUUCGGGAACUGUGAGACAGGUGCUGCAUGGCUGUCGUCAGCUCGUGUUGUGAAAUUUUGGGUUAAGUCCCGCAACGAGCGCAACCCUUAUCCUUUGUUGCCAGCGGUCCGGCCGGGAACUCAAAGGAGACUGCCAGUGAUAAACUGGAGG
Molecule: ribosomal RNA, 311 nt
Filed under: Klebsiella pneumoniae
Lineage: Bacteria; Pseudomonadati; Pseudomonadota; Gammaproteobacteria; Enterobacterales; Enterobacteriaceae
Description: bacterial SSU rRNA
Rfam family: Bacterial small subunit ribosomal RNA
Source: RNAcentral